This 274-nucleotide ribosomal RNA is filed under the name uncultured bacterium. RNAcentral's name for it is "partial 16S ribosomal RNA". It matches the Rfam family "Bacterial small subunit ribosomal RNA", at positions 523 to 796 of the family's 1533-position model. The record is from RNAcentral.
AUACGGAGGGUGCAAGCGUUAUUCGGAAUCACUGGGCGUAAAGGGUGCGUAGGCGGUUUGAUAAGUCUGAUGUGAAAUCCUAUGGCUCAACCAUAGAACUGCAUUGGAAACUGUCAGACUAGAAUACUGAAGGGGCAGAUGGAAUUAGUGGUGUAGGGGUAAAAUCCGUAGAUAUCACUAGGAAUACCGAAAGCGAAAGCGAUCUGCUGGGAAGUUAUUGACGCUGAGGCACGAAAGCGUGGGGAGCAAACGGGACUAGAAACCCCAGUAGUCC